This 433-nucleotide ribosomal RNA is filed under the name uncultured bacterium. RNAcentral's name for it is "partial 16S ribosomal RNA". It matches the Rfam family "Bacterial small subunit ribosomal RNA", at positions 29 to 507 of the family's 1533-position model. The record is from RNAcentral.
AACGAACGCUGGCGGCAUGCCUAACACAUGCAAGUCGAACGAGACCUUCGGGUCUAGUGGCGCACGGGUGCGUAACGCGUGGGAACCUGCCCUUAGGUUCGGAAUAACUCCCCGAAAGGGGUGCUAAUACCGGAUAAUGUCUUCGGACCAAAGAUUUAUCGCCUUUGGAUGGGCCCGCGUUGGAUUAGCUAGUUGGUAGGGUAAAAGCCUACCAAGGCGACGAUCCAUAGCUGGUCUGAGAGGAUGAUCAGCCGCACUGGGACUGAGACACGGCCCAGACUCCUACGGGAGGCAGCAGUGGGGAAUAUUGGACAAUGGGCGAAAGCCUGAUCCAGCAAUGCCGCGUGAGUGAUGAGGGCCUUAGGGUUGUAAAGCUCUUUUACCCGGGAUGAUAAUGACAGUACCGGGAGAAUAAGCUCCGGCUAACUCCGUG